RNAcentral lists this ribosomal RNA (301 nucleotides) under uncultured bacterium. Its description in RNAcentral is "partial 16S ribosomal RNA". It matches the Rfam family "Bacterial small subunit ribosomal RNA", at positions 509 to 807 of the family's 1533-position model. The record is from RNAcentral.
CAGUAGCCGCGGGAAUACGAAGGGGGCUAGCGUUGCUCGGAAUGACUGGGCGUAAAGGGCGCGUAGGCGGAUUGUUUAGUUAGGCGUGAAAUUCCUGGGCUUAACCUGGGGACUGCGCUUAAUACAGGCAGUCUAGAGUGAGGAAGAGGGUUGUGGAAUUCCCAGUGUAGAGGUGAAAUUCGUAGAUAUUGGGAAGAACACCGGUGGCGAAGGCGGCAACCUGGUCCUUGACUGACGCUGAGGCGCGAAAGCGUGGGGAGCAAACAGGAUUAGAUACCCCUGUAGUCCCUGUCUCUUAUAC